Molecule: ribosomal RNA, 406 nt
Filed under: uncultured bacterium
Lineage: Bacteria
Description: partial 16S ribosomal RNA
Rfam family: Bacterial small subunit ribosomal RNA
Source: RNAcentral
AUUGAACGCUGGCGGCAGGCCUAACACAUGCAAGUCGAACGAGUGGCGGACGGGUGAGUAAUGUCUGGGAAACUCCCUGAUGGAGGGGGAUAACUACUGGAAACGGUAGCUAAUACCGCUUUCCAUCGGGGGUGCCCAGAGGGGAUUAUCUAGUAGGUGGGGUAAAGGCUCACUAGGGCGCCGAUCCCUAGUGGGUUUGAGAGGAUGACCAGCCACACUGGAACAGAGACACGGUCCAGAGUCCCACGGGAGGCAGCAGGGGGGAAUAUUGCACAAUGGGCGCAAGCCUGAUGGAGCGAUGCCGCGUGUAUGAAGAAGGCCUUCGGGUUGUAAAGUUGUUUCAGCGGGUAGGCGUUACCCGCAGAAGAAGCACCGGCUAACUCCGUGCCAGCAGCCGCGGUAAUUC